RNAcentral lists this long non-coding RNA (770 nucleotides) under Felis catus (domestic cat). Its description in RNAcentral is "lncRNA (ENSFCAG00000049911.1)". Lineage: Eukaryota; Metazoa; Chordata; Mammalia; Carnivora; Felidae. The record is from RNAcentral.
GGGUAGGCUAGUUGCAUUUCUUUUUAAAAUUUGAGUCCCUGGAGCUAAGACCAGAGCCACAUGUUGACAGGGGAGGGCACGCCUCUGAGAGCAGCCUUCCUCCAGGCUCCUAGAAUGCUGAUUCAUCUUCUUGUGCAGUGAAGACCUUUCCAGAGAGAAGGGGAGGGAAGGGGAGGGAAGGGGAAAGAAGAGAAGGGAAGGCAAGGGAAGGGGAAUUCUUGCUAUCCACUAAGCACUCAGUAUGUGUCAGGCUGUAUAUAUGUUAUUUCAUUUAUUGCUGACCAGAAUCCUGUGGGGGUAGAUGCUAUUAUCAGCCCUUCCCUGCAGACGAGGUGAACAGUUUGAGAGGUGGAGGAAAGUUUUCACAUUGGUACAGUGGAUAUUGAAGAAUCUCAUUUGGUAGGUGAUAGAAUGUAGGGUAGAUGUCUACGUUGAGAUACUCUCUCUCAGGACCCUCAUCUUGCCUCAUCACACAGAAGGCUAGAAGAAAGAAAUAUGGAAACCCUGAUGUCAGGGCAAAGGCCCCGGGACCCUCCUGAGAAAGUCUGCAGAGGAAACAGGACACAGAGCGGACCACGGCGGCAGGAACGUCAGCUGAGCUCCGAGAGGCUGGAAGCACGGAGCGGGAAGUGGCACUUCCCCUGCGUUUUUAUGUUUAGCUGGGGUUUAAUUAAUAACCGGCAAACAAGUCUAUAAUUAACUCGGUUUCCCUUUUGGCCAGCCAAGGGAAUAAUAAUAAAGCUGCUUUUUAAGUCCUCCGUGGUGCUGGA